ACUGCACCAUGGCGGGGCUGACUUCUGUAUAUGCUGUUUCCUAGGCUUCCAUAUCAGUACUCCUUCUGAGUUCAGCCAAUGUGAGCUACAGAUGGAAGAAUGGAGGCCUAGUCAGCAAAGAGCACCCAUCUGCAGUUCACUGUUGGUGCUCUAGGCUGGGGAGUGUGGUGUGGGGUUGAAUACUCACACUCUUCAGGGGAAAACUGUUCAAUUGAGAUAUCCCUCCACAAUCUCAGCUGCUACUCAUUUGCAGUUCAAGUUUGGUCCUGGGAGGUGAAUGUAACAUCCACCUAUGCCACCAAUUUGGAUCCUCAACAAUGGAUUAAACAGUAAUAUUCUCAUACUACAAAUGAAGAAAUUUAUUCAUAAGAAGAUGAAUAAUCCCUGUCUGGUGUGACUCAGUGGAUUGAGCACGUGCCUGCGAAGCAAAGGGUCACUGGCUUGAUUCCCAGUCAGGACACAUGCCUGGGUUGCAGGCCAAGUCCCCCGAUGGGGGUUGUGUGAGAGGUAACCACACAUUGAUGUUUCUCUCCCUCUCUUUCUCACUCU
Molecule: long non-coding RNA, 549 nt
Organism: Artibeus jamaicensis (Jamaican fruit-eating bat)
Lineage: Eukaryota; Metazoa; Chordata; Mammalia; Chiroptera; Phyllostomidae
Exons: 5
Source: RefSeq, a predicted model, not a curated record